Molecule: ribosomal RNA, 484 nt
Filed under: uncultured bacterium
Lineage: Bacteria
Description: partial 16S ribosomal RNA
Rfam family: Bacterial small subunit ribosomal RNA
Source: RNAcentral
GACGAACGCUGGCGGCGUGCUUAACACAUGCAAGUCGAACGAUGAACCCGGAGCUUGCUCCGGUGGAUUAGUGGCGAACGGGUGAGUAACACGUGAGUAACCUGCCCUUGACUCUGGGAUAACUGCGGGAAACUGUAGCUAAUACCGGAUACGACCCUCGGCGACAUCGCCAGGGGGUGGAAAGAAUUUCGGUCAUGGAUGGACUCCAGGCCUAUCAGCUAGUUGGUGAGGUAACGGUUCACCAAGGCGACGACGGGGAGCCGGCCUGAGCGGGUGACCGACCACACUGGGACUGAGACACGGCCCAGACUCCUACGGGAGGCAGCAGUGGGGAAUAUUGCACAAUGGGCGCAAGCCUGAUGCAGCAACGCCGCGUGAGGGAUGACGGCCUUCGGGUUGUAAACCUCUUUUAGUAGGGAAGAAGCGAAAGUGACGGUACCUGCAGAAGAAGCACCGGCUAACUACGUGCCAGCCGCCGCCGUAA